GACGAACGCUGGCGGCGUGCUUAACACAUGCAAGUCGAACGGAAAGGCCCUGCUUUUGUGGGGGGCUCGAGUGGCGAACGGGUGAGUAACACGUGAGUAACCUGCCCUUGACUUUGGGAUAACUUCAGGAAAAUGGGGCUAAUACCGGAUCGGAGCUCCUGCUUCAUGGUGGGGGGUGGAAAGUUUCGGCGGUUGGGGGUGGACUCGCGGCUUAUCAGCUUGUUGGUGGGGUAGUGGCUUACCAAGGGUUUGACGGGUGGCCGGCCUGAGAGGGUGACCGGCCACAUUGGGACUGAGAUACGGCCCAGACUCCUACGGGAGGCAGCAGUGGGGAAUAUUGCACAAUGGGCGGAAGCCUGAUGCAGCAACGCCGCGUGCGGGAUGACGGCCUUCGGGUUGUAAACCGCUUUCGCCUGUGACGAAGCGUGAGUGACGGUAAUGGGUAAAGAAGCACCGGCUAACUACGUG
RNAcentral lists this ribosomal RNA (468 nucleotides) under uncultured bacterium. RNAcentral describes it as "partial 16S ribosomal RNA". It matches the Rfam family "Bacterial small subunit ribosomal RNA", at positions 28 to 507 of the family's 1533-position model. The record is from RNAcentral.